UCGAGGAACACGGGGACUAGUUGGCGUAAUCAGCCUCCAAAUAUUUGGAGGCUUCUGUUUUUGUUUUAUUUAAUCAUA
This 78-nucleotide small RNA is filed under the name Arabidopsis thaliana (thale cress). RNAcentral describes it as "ATSL179540". The record is from RNAcentral. Lineage: Eukaryota; Viridiplantae; Streptophyta; Magnoliopsida; Brassicales; Brassicaceae.